Molecule: unclassified non-coding RNA, 495 nt
Filed under: Scrophularia koraiensis
Lineage: Eukaryota; Viridiplantae; Streptophyta; Magnoliopsida; Lamiales; Scrophulariaceae
Description: partial external transcribed spacer
Source: RNAcentral
CGUGAGUGGUGUUUGGCGUGUAUUGGCAUGUCGGAUCCUUGCUAGGGCAUUGACGACAUCUCAUGCAAGCCUCUUCAUUCAUUGGCUCAAGUGCUUCUUUGCCUUGGCCGACGUUGGGUUUCCUGUGUUGAAUACCUAAAMUGAGGGCAUACGGUCGGUUAAAAUGUCCCAAUUCCGCCUUGUGCUGUGCCUCUCUCGAGAACGCGGCGCAGGGUGGACCUCAAAGCACACGCUGUGUUCCACUCCCCUUGCAAGUGUUGUUUCACAUGCUUGGGUUGUUGGCACAUGGUGUCGUGCUCGAUCUCUCGGAUUCGGAAUAUAAAGGUGGGUACGAGGCAUUGACCUCUAUUUGCCCUGAAACAAGUGUUCGACGCUUUGUGCGAACGACUGCCGCUUUCGUUUUGAUGGAGUCCUCGUGGCUUUGCUCAUGCGGGAGCGGUGUCGAUAAGGAAUGCUACCUGGUUGAUCCUGCCAGUAGUCAUAUGCCUUUGUCUC